CAAUAAGGAAGUGAUUGAGCUUUUUUUCUAAUACUACUGCUAUUGGAUUGCUAACCAAAAUACAUCUCAAGCUUUUUUAGAUGUUUGCUGCACAAUUACUUAUCCAAAUGCACAUGAAUUCUAUUUCUGUAGAAUUACAUAGCUACAUAAUAUUUUUAUUUGUCUUAAGCGGCAUUUUAUGUUAAAUAUCAAUCGCAUGCAUAUUUUAAUAGUCCGUAAGAUCGUCCAUAUUUAUGUUUAACAAUAUUUAAUAACAUUUCUUUAUACCUUUAGGUAGAGGGAGCAUAACGAGUUGGAAUCAAUCAAAAAAGCCUGUUAUCAAAACGGAACCUAGAGAUACCUCGCCACAGCCAUUUAAUUUAUAUCACGCGCAACAUGAAGUAACCCAAUCUCCGCAUUCACCAUUAUCACCGUGUUGUAAUUACAAUCAGCCGUCGCCAUACGGUGUGGUAUCUACAACAACUGCACUUCCGAUAAUUCCACAGGUGAUAGGACAGUACAAGACCAGCCCUAAUAGCGCUGGUGCCACCUGUCGACCAUCACCUAACAGCUUGCACGAGUACAAUGUAUUUAAUCAGCAAACUCAACACACAACAAGUAAUUUUACAGGCACGAGUCAAUGGGAAAGUAAAUUUAGCCCAAAUAUAAUAAAUAAUAAUGAGACGAUUGGAAAUGAUGCGACACAAUUUCGAAUAUAUAAUGCACUAACUGCAGGCCUCAGUAACGCUAAUGCAAAUAGAACAGAUGGCAAUUGCGUAGAAACGGUACCGCCUGCCAAUUGGCCUUUACCGCCGGUUAACUUGUAUGCGCAAAUGCAGCAUUAUCAAGCCAAUCCUGUCGUCGUCCCACCUUGUAAUGUUGAACAAAUGCAGACUAAUAAUAAUAACAAUCAAAACAAUCAUAACAACAGUGAGCA
Molecule: long non-coding RNA, 916 nt
Organism: Glossina fuscipes
Lineage: Eukaryota; Metazoa; Arthropoda; Insecta; Diptera; Glossinidae
Exons: 3
Source: RefSeq, a predicted model, not a curated record